GACGAACGCUGGCGGCGUGCCUAAUACAUGCAAGUCGAACGCAGUGGGGACGGGUGAGUAACACGUGGGUAACCUCCCAUCAGAGGGGAUAACACUUGGAAACAGGUGCUAAACCGAUACUGAUGGAUGAACCCGCGGUGCAUUAGCUAGUUGGUGAGGUAACGGCUCACCAAGGCCACGAUGCAUAGGCGGCCUGAGGGGGGGUAUGGCCACACUGGGGAUGAGGACCGGCCCAAACUCCUACGGGGGGCCGGCGUAGGGAAUCUUCGGCAAUGGACGAAAGUCUGACCGAGCAACGCCGCGUGAGUGAAGAAGGUUUUCGGAUCGUAAAACUCUGUUGUUAGAGAAGCGGUAUCUAACCAGAAAGCCACGGCUAACUACGUGCCAGCAGCCGCGGUAAUUC
This 403-nucleotide ribosomal RNA is filed under the name uncultured bacterium. RNAcentral describes it as "partial 16S ribosomal RNA". It matches the Rfam family "Bacterial small subunit ribosomal RNA", at positions 28 to 526 of the family's 1533-position model. The record is from RNAcentral.